AACUGUGACCAUCAGAGAAGAACGUCGCAGUUUUCUGCACUUAAUCACUCGGCUCUAUGCAAAGCUAACAUUUAGCUGUAAGAUUUAGUAAGGCAUCAAUCCCUGCGAAUUUGUUUUCUUCUUCUUUUUGAAGAAGUUAAAAAUCAUUUUCUCAGGUGUACAAUUAGCAAUGUUUGGUGUUUGAAAUUGUGAAUCUUGGGUUUUAUUUUGAUUCCUCCUCACCACCCAUAUAUCAAGCGCUGAACCCUAACUCCUAGGGGAAAUCCUUCUCCUAUAGUCUUAAGUGUUUGGAUAUCUUUUUCCCACUUCUCAUGAAAGGAAUUUGUAUUUAAACUGUUUGUGCUGUGAUUUUUGUAGACCACAGCAUCUGGAGGCGGACUAGGCUUAUGUAUCAUUCUUGAUAAAAAGAGGCUUCAAUGGUGGCACUAGGGCAGGAGCUUUAGCCAACAAAGCACAUCAACAGCAAGAGAUCACUGGUCAAUGUAACAAAAAUCUAGAACGUCAUUCAAAGGUUGGGACAGUUCUCAUUGGGAGCAC
Molecule: long non-coding RNA, 537 nt
Filed under: Nicotiana benthamiana
Lineage: Eukaryota; Viridiplantae; Streptophyta; Magnoliopsida; Solanales; Solanaceae
Description: long non-coding RNA (NBEN_LNC016158)
Source: RNAcentral